RNAcentral lists this ribosomal RNA (309 nucleotides) under uncultured bacterium. RNAcentral's name for it is "partial 16S ribosomal RNA". It matches the Rfam family "Bacterial small subunit ribosomal RNA", at positions 504 to 807 of the family's 1533-position model. The record is from RNAcentral.
AGAGACAGCAGCCGCCGCGGUAAUACGAAGGGGGCUAGCGUUGCUCGGAAUGACUGGGCGUAAAGGGCGCGUAGGCGGAUGGUACAGUCAGAUGUGAAAUUCCUGGGCUUAACCUGGGGGCUGCAUUUGAUACGUAUUGUCUAGAGUGAGGAAGAGGGUCGUGGAAUUCCCAGUGUAGAGGUGAAAUUCGUAGAUAUUGGGAAGAACACCGGUGGCGAAGGCGGCGACCUGGUCCUUGACUGACGCUGAGACGCGAAAGCCAGGGGAGCGAACGGGAUUAGAUACCCGCGUAGUCCCUGUCUCUUAUAC